Molecule: ribosomal RNA, 253 nt
Filed under: uncultured bacterium
Lineage: Bacteria
Description: partial 16S ribosomal RNA
Rfam family: Bacterial small subunit ribosomal RNA
Source: RNAcentral
UACGAAGGGGGCUAGCGUUGUUCGGAAUCACUGGGCGUAAAGGGCGCGUAGGCGGCUUUAUAAGUCGGGGGUGAAAGCCUGUGGCUCAACCACAGAAUUGCCUUCGAUACUGUAGAGCUUGAGACCGGAAGAGGUAAGUGGAACUGCGAGUGUAGAGGUGAAAUUCGUAGAUAUACGCAAGAACACCAGUGGCGAAGGCGGCUUACUGGUCCGGUUCUGACGCUGAGGCGCGAAAGCGUGGGGAGCAAACAGG